GAUGAACGCUGGCGGCGUGCUUAACACAUGCAAGUCGAACGAAGCACCUUGAUUCGAUUCUUCGGAUGAAGAUCUUGGUGACUGAGUGGCGGACGGGUGAGUAACGCGUGGGUAACCUGCCUCAUACAGGGGGAUAACAGUUAGAAAUGACUGCUAAUACCGCAUAAGACCACAGCACCGCAUGGUGCAGGGGUAAAAACUCCGGUGGUAUGAGAUGGACCCGCGUCUGAUUAGGUAGUUGGUGGGGUAACGGCCUACCAAGCCGACGAUCAGUAGCCGACCUGGGAGGGUGACCGGCCACAUUGGGAAUGAGACACGGCCCAAACUCCUACGGGAGGCAGCAGUGGGGAAUAUUGCACAAUGAGGGAAAACCUGAUGCAGCGACGCCGCGUGAGCGAUGAAGUAUUUCGGUAUGUAAAGCUCUAUCAGCAGGGAAGAAAAUGACGGUACCUGACUAAGAAGCACCGGCUAAAUACGUG
Molecule: ribosomal RNA, 479 nt
Filed under: uncultured bacterium
Lineage: Bacteria
Description: partial 16S ribosomal RNA
Rfam family: Bacterial small subunit ribosomal RNA
Source: RNAcentral